AUACUUACCUGGCAGGGGAGAGACUAUGAUCACGAAGGUGGUUUUCCCAAGGUGAGGCUUAUCCAUUGCACUCCAGAUGUGCUGACCCCUGCGAUUUCCCCAAAUGUGGGAAACUCGACUGCAUAAUUUGUGGUAGUGGGGGACUGCCUUCACGCUUUCCCCUG
Small nuclear RNA from Callithrix jacchus (white-tufted-ear marmoset), 164 nucleotides. Its record names the gene U1. It matches the Rfam family "U1 spliceosomal RNA". Rfam says of the family: U1 is a small nuclear RNA (snRNA) component of the spliceosome (involved in pre-mRNA splicing). Its 5' end forms complementary base pairs with the 5' splice junction, thus defining the 5' donor site of an intron. The record is from Ensembl. NCBI's taxonomy places the organism in Eukaryota, Metazoa, Chordata, Mammalia, Primates, Cebidae.